GCCUACGGUCUUUUGAAUAGUGUAAAAACAAGUGUUACAACAUUUCUGAUAACAAAAUUAAUAGGGAAUCAAUAAAUAUUUUAUUUAAAAUAUGUUUUAAAAAAUCUAAUGUUAAAGGAGUCUUAUUUACCAGAUGACUGGAGUCCAAGUAUAGUCUGUAAAAGCAUAGAGAGACACAGUUUUAAGUACAGACACAUCUCUCCGUCUUGUGAUUUUCUUUUGACAGUUUGUGUUGUCAUUCAGGAAAUUACAAGUUCUCACUCAUCUUCUCUUUUUUCCCCAACUUCUAGAAAUACCAGGCAUCAUGCCCUGGUAUAUUUUAACCAAGUAGGCCUGAUUGUUUUGCUCUUCCCCUUUCCAUUCAGUUCUAUUUGAAAUCUUAUGUUUUAUAAUCUACCCUACAAACACAAGACUGUAUGAGGCGAAAACAUUUACGAAUUGAGAUAAACCAUGCAGAAAAUUAUGGCAUUUCCCACCAAACGGAUGUUAUAUAAAUUCCAUGACUGUAAAGAAUAUUCUACUAUUCUCCCAUAUUACAUUUAUUAGAUUUAUUUUAAAAAAUCUGCCUGCUCAUUGAUUGAUUUAUUGAAUUAAAUCAGCAUAGCAGGAAGAGGCUACAUGUUUUGAAUGGGGCCAGGAGUUCAACUGUUUCCCUAGCGAUCAUACAACAACAUUCCAAAAUGUAUGUCACAAUGACAGGGUCGCGCUGUUGGCUACGGUUGUACAGGUACCUAUAUGACGUCACCGUUUAUCAACGCGGAAAAGACGUCCAGAUGUUCGGAUUGAACAAAGCUAAACUGGGCCUUGAACAUAAACCCGUGCGCGGCCAUUUCGAGUCAAACGCUCCGUUUCUUCGGCGCAAGGUCAUGAAAAUGAAAGGAACCAGUAAAAGGGCGGAAGAGAAGGGCUAUGCCGCUCCCUAUGAUCCAUUCUUCAGUGGACCAGUACGAAAGAGGAGCUGCACAGAUCUGAUCUGCUGCAUACUGUUCUUGGCUGUCAUAGCUGGUUACAUGGUCAUGGGAGUUCUGGCCUGGUUGUUUGGAGACCCUCGCCAUGUUCUCUUCCCCAGGAACUCCACCGGAAUGUUCUGUGGAGUGGGAAUGAAUAGAGACCAGCCCAGGAUGAUCUAUGUGGACAUACUGAAGUGUGCCACGACCACCAAGGUGAUGGCAGCAGCGCUCGGAGGCACACAGUGUCCCACCACACAGGUGUGUGUCCCUAAGUGUCCGUCUCACUUCUGGAUGCUGUCUGCUGCUGCCUAUGACCCCGACGCCAAUCCCAAAGACUUCUUCCAUCAGCAGUACUGUGACCACAGCCUCAACCUGACUACCACUACCUGGACUGUCCAAGAGAUCCUUGAUGCAGAACUUUGUCCGUCCUUCCUUGUUCCAAGUAAAUCAGCUCUGGGGAGGUGUUUGCCCAGUCUACAUGCUCUCAAAAGUGCUCCUUCCAACUUCACUCUGCCCGGAAUGGCCUCCGUCAACGAGACAGUCAACAGCAUCAGAAGCGCCAUGGGCUCACUGAUAUCAGGCUUCAACAGAAAGGCUGUAGGAGUGAGGGUCUUUGAGGACUUUGCCUCCUCCUGGUACUGGAUCUUACUUGGUCUGACGCUGGCUCUGCUAGUCAGUGUGGUGUUCCUGUUGCUGCUGAGGUACCUGGCCAUUGUCCUGGUCUGGAUUCUCAUGGUGGGACUUCUGGUGGUGGGAGGCUACGGAAUAUGGCAUUGCUACUCAGAAUACUACCAUUUCAGCACUUCUAAACUGAAGUUCGGGGAUCUAAGCUUCAAUACAAAUAUCUCAGUCUACCUUCAAGUCAAAGAGACCUGGCUUGCUUUCUUGAUCAUCCUGUGUGUGUGGGAGUCCAUUUUGAUUCUGGUGCUUAGUUGUCUCAGGAGGAGACUCUCUGUUGCUGUUGCUCUCAUGGAGGAGUCCAGCAGGGUGGUGGGUUACCUGAUGUCCACCCUGCUCUACCCUCUGUUUACCUUUGUUCUGCUGGUGGUGUGUGUGGCCUACUGGGGAAUGACCUCCCUAUACUUGGUCACAUCAGGGGCCCCUCUCUACAGAGUGGUGUCUCUUAGCGACCCCUCUGUAGAUAAGUGUAGUCUCAUCAACGGCUCUGAGACCUGCAAGCCACAGACGUUCAACUCCUCGGCCUACCCAUACUGCCCGUCGGUGCGCUGCAUCUUCUUCAGGUACGAUGACACGGGCCUGUUCCAGCAGAACCUGGUUUACCUGCAGGUCUUCAACAUCUUUGCCUUCCUGUGGUGUGUGAACUUUGUCAUCGCCCUGGGCCAAUGUACCCUGGCUGGGACCUUUGCUUCAUACUACUGGGCCUUCAGCAAGCCUACAGAAAUCUCACCCUUCGCCCUGUCCCAGUGCUUCAUACGCACUCUACAGUACCACGUGGGCUCUCUGGCAUUCGGAGCCCUCCUCCUCACCUGCUUCCAGCUUGUCAGGUUGGUGCUGGAGUACCUGAACCAUAAGACCAGGGGUUCUCAGAGUGCCUGUGGUCGGUUCCUGUUUAACUGUCUCAGAUGCUGCUUCUGGUGUCUGGAAUACUUCCUGAAGAUCCUCAACAGGAACGCUUAUAUCAUGAUCGCCAUCUACGGGGAGAGCUUCUGUGUGUCAGCCAAAAAUGCAUACAGUCUGUUGAUGAGGCACAUCGGACGGGUGGUGCUACUGGACAGAGUGACAGACAUGCUCAUAUUCUUUGGCAAACUACUAGUGGUGGCAAUAGUUGGUGUGUUGGCUUUCUUCUUCUUCUCUGGACAAAUCCGCCUGCCUGGCGACACGUUCCAGGCCGAGAUGCUCAACUAUUACUGGGUUCCCAUCCUGGCACGUCCAUGCAACAGUGUUGUUACCAAACACUCAACACUCACAGUUCUUCAUUGACAUUCUAUCUUCGAUGAACACAUUAGACCAGCGUUUCCCAAACUCGGUCCUCGGGACCCCUAGGGGUGCAAGUUUAGUUUUUUACCCAAACACCACACAGCUGAUUCAAAUGAUUAAAGCUUGAUAAUUAGAUGAUCAUUUGAAUCAGCUGUGUAAUGCUAGGUCAAAAACCAAAACGUAAACUCCUUGGGGGCCGAGGACCAAGUUAGGGAAACCCUGUAUUAGAUGUUGUAUGCAGGUUUGAAAUGGAUUUAGAAAUGAGAUCAUGAAAAUGGCUGAUUUUCAUGUAGUUUCUUUCACUGUUGAACUUAGUAGAACCUCCUUUGAUAUGAGAUGAUUAUUUAUCUUUUAGCCCCUUUUCUCCCCAAUUUCGUGGUAUCCAUUUGGUAGUUAGUCUUGUCUCAUUGCUGCAACCCCCGUACGGACUCAGGAGAGGUGAAGGUCAAGAGCCAUGCGUCCUUCGAAACACAAUCCAAGCAAGCCGCACUGCUUCUUGACACAGCGCUCAUCCAACCCAGAAGCCAGCCGCACCAAUGUGUCGGAGGAAACACAGUACACCUGGCAACCGUGUCAGCGUGCAUUGCACCCAACACGCCACACGAGUCACUAGUGCACGCUGGAACAAGGACAUCCCAGCCAAACCCUCCCCUAGUCCGUACGACACUGGGCCAAUUGUGCACCGCCCCAUGGGUCUCCCAGUCGCAGCCAGCGGCAACAGAGCCUGGACUCAAACCCAGAAUCUGUAGUGGCACAGCUAGCAGCACAUCUAGCACUGUGAUGCAGUGCCUUAGACCACUGCGCCACUCGGGAGGCGGAUAUGAGACUAUUAACGCAGUAGCCUGUGUUGAUAACUGCCGUGUAUUUUUAAAGUUACAUUUACUGUAUGUAUUGUCAGCAGUGUAUUGAUUGGUGCUGUUAGAACUCAUGCAGCUAUGUUGUCGUAAUGUUCCUCUGCAGACAGUGAUGGCCGGAGCCUACCUCAUCGCUCAGGGCUUCUUCAGUGUCUACAGCAUGUGUGUUGACACCCUGUUUCUCUGCUUCUGUUGGGCCCUGGGACUAAACACCUCCCUCUGCAACUGGAUUCUGGACUUCCUGAAGGGCUGCCCCCCCAGGUGGUAAGG
Oncorhynchus kisutch (coho salmon) is the source of this 4012-nucleotide RNA transcript. It is a transcript of the gene named choline transporter-like protein 4, with no coding region annotated. The record is from RefSeq and is a predicted model, not a curated record. NCBI's taxonomy places the organism in Eukaryota, Metazoa, Chordata, Actinopteri, Salmoniformes, Salmonidae. The transcript has 21 exons.